AGCAUGUUAGCUCAGGGGAAGAGCGCCGGGCUCAUAACCCGGAGGUACGUUUCACCGCAAUCAACUCACCCACAAACAUCAAACUAACAAUCUCUACAGGACCCUGGAUCGAAACCAGGACAUGCUA
Transfer RNA from Penicillium italicum, 127 nucleotides. It matches the Rfam family "tRNA". Rfam says of the family: Transfer RNA (tRNA) molecules are approximately 80 nucleotides in length. Their secondary structure includes four short double-helical elements and three loops (D, anti-codon, and T loops). Lineage: Eukaryota; Fungi; Ascomycota; Eurotiomycetes; Eurotiales; Aspergillaceae. The record is from Rfam.